CCUCCUUUUCUUGGCGGGGACCAGGCAUAAAGUGCCACUCCCAUUAUGCAUGGAGACAGAGGAAAAGGGCCGUGAUCCCCUCUGUGUCAUGUCUUCAGUGCCGGCUGCUUCCCAUCUGCGGUUCUAUCUGUUCUAUCUUCAAGCGCCAAGACAAGG
This is a small nucleolar RNA of Ochotona curzoniae (black-lipped pika), 156 nucleotides long. RefSeq annotates it as small nucleolar RNA SNORA57. The record is from RefSeq and is a predicted model, not a curated record. Lineage: Eukaryota; Metazoa; Chordata; Mammalia; Lagomorpha; Ochotonidae. The transcript has a single exon.